CAUCGGUCCUCCCGCAAUGAUAGAUAGCAAACUCCGCCAGGCCUGGAAGGGAGCAACGGUAGUUAUCGACUCAUGUGCCGGGAUGUGGCUGAUGCCG
RNAcentral lists this signal recognition particle RNA (97 nucleotides) under Sinobacterium norvegicum. RNAcentral's name for it is "Bacteria_small_SRP". It matches the Rfam family "Bacterial small signal recognition particle RNA". From Rfam's summary of the family: The signal recognition particle (SRP) is a universally conserved ribonucleoprotein involved in the co-translational targeting of proteins to membranes. Lineage: Bacteria; Pseudomonadati; Pseudomonadota; Gammaproteobacteria; Cellvibrionales; Spongiibacteraceae. The record is from RNAcentral.